Molecule: ribosomal RNA, 482 nt
Filed under: uncultured Actinomycetes bacterium
Lineage: Bacteria; Bacillati; Actinomycetota; Actinomycetes
Description: bacterial SSU rRNA
Rfam family: Bacterial small subunit ribosomal RNA
Source: RNAcentral
GCACCUUCGGGUGUGAAUUAGCGGCGAACGGGUGAGGAACACGUGAGAAAUCUGCCUUCAACACUGGGAUAACUCCGGGAAACCGGGGCUAAUACCGGAUAUGAAACCUGCGGGCAUCCGCGGGUUUGGAAAGUUUUUCGGUUGAAGAUGAUCUCGCGGCCUAUCAGCUUGUUGGUGAGGUAAUGGCUCACCAAGGCGACGACGGGUAGCCGGCCUGAGAGGGCGACCGGCCACACUGGGACUGAGACACGGCCCAGACUCCUACGGGAGGCAGCAGUGGGGAAUAUUGGGCAAUGGAGGAAACUCUGACCCAGCGACGCCGCGUGCGGGAUGAAGGCCUUCGGGUUGUAAACCGCUUUCAGCAGGGAAGAAGCGAAAGUGACGGUACCUGCAGAAGAAGCACCGGCUAACUAUGUGCCAGCAGCCGCGGUAAUACAUAGGGUGCAAGCGUUGUCCGGAAUUAUUGGGCGUAAAGAGCUCGU